This 527-nucleotide ribosomal RNA is filed under the name uncultured Geobacter sp. Its description in RNAcentral is "bacterial SSU rRNA". It matches the Rfam family "Bacterial small subunit ribosomal RNA", at positions 67 to 573 of the family's 1533-position model. The record is from RNAcentral. Lineage: Bacteria; Pseudomonadati; Thermodesulfobacteriota; Desulfuromonadia; Geobacterales; Geobacteraceae.
CGUGAUCCGCCCUUCGGGGUGGUGAAAGUGGCGCACGGGUGAGUAACGCGUGGAUAAUCUGCCCGAGGAUUUGGGAUAACAUCUCGAAAGGGGUGCUAAUACCGAAUAAGCCCACGGGGUCUACGGAUCUUGCGGGAAAAGGGGGGGACCUUCGGGCCUCCUGUCCUUGGAUGAGUCUGCGUACCAUUAGCUAGUUGGUGGGGUAAUGGCCUACCAAGGCGACGAUGGUUAGCUGGUCUGAGAGGAUGAUCAGCCACACUGGAACUGAGACACGGUCCAGACUCCUACGGGAGGCAGCAGUGGGGAAUUUUGCGCAAUGGGGGAAACCCUGACGCAGCAACGCCGCGUGGGUGAUGAAGGCCUUCGGGUCGUAAAGCUCUGUCUGGAGGGAAGAAAUGAUUGGGAGCUAAUACCUCUUGAUCUUGACGGUACCUCUGAAGGAAGCACCGGCUAACUCCGUGCCAGCAGCCGCGGUAAUACGGAGGGUGCAAGCGUUGUUCGGAAUUAUUGGGCGUAAAGCGCGUGUA